GACGAACGCUGGCGGCGUGCCUAACACAUGCAAGUCGAACGGAGAUAUGAUUUCGGUUGUAUCUUAGUGGCGAACGGGUGAGUAACGCGUGAGCAACCUGACUCUUAGAGGGGGAUAACACCCGGAAACGAGUGCUAAUACCGCAUAAGACCACGACCCGGCAUCGGGAUGAGGUCAAAGGAGCAAUCCGCUGAGAGAGGGGCUCGCGUCCCAUUAGAUAGAUGGCGGGGUAACGGCCCACCAUGUCAACGAUGGGUAGCCGAGCUGAGAGGCUGAUCGGCCACACUGGAACUGAGACACGGUCCAGACUCCUACGGGAGGCAGCAGUGGGGAAUAUUGGGCAAUGGGCGCAAGCCUGACCCAGCAACGCCGCGUGAGGGAAGAAGGCUUUCGGGUUGUAAACCUCUGUCCUUGGUGACGAAACAAAUGACGGUAGCCAAGGAGGAAGCCCCGGCUAACUACGUGCCAGCCGCCGCGGUAA
This 481-nucleotide ribosomal RNA is filed under the name uncultured bacterium. Its description in RNAcentral is "partial 16S ribosomal RNA". It matches the Rfam family "Bacterial small subunit ribosomal RNA", at positions 28 to 523 of the family's 1533-position model. The record is from RNAcentral.